This 71-nucleotide transfer RNA is filed under the name Trichonotus elegans (long-rayed sand-diver). RNAcentral's name for it is "tRNA-Ser(UCN)". It matches the Rfam family "tRNA". From Rfam's summary of the family: Transfer RNA (tRNA) molecules are approximately 80 nucleotides in length. Their secondary structure includes four short double-helical elements and three loops (D, anti-codon, and T loops). RNAcentral also lists the same sequence under 1 other name. Lineage: Eukaryota; Metazoa; Chordata; Actinopteri; Gobiiformes; Trichonotidae. The record is from RNAcentral.
AAGAAAGUGGCAGAGUGGUUAAGCGGUUGACUUGAAAUCAACACACGGGGGUUCGAUUCCUUCCUUUCUUG